GGAGAGAUGGCUGAGCUGGUCGAAGGCGCACGAUUGGAAAUCGUGUAGGCGUUAAUAGCGUCUCGAGGGUUCGAAUCCCUCUCUCUCCGCCA
This 92-nucleotide transfer RNA is filed under the name Intestinimonas butyriciproducens. RNAcentral's name for it is "tRNA-Ser". It matches the Rfam family "tRNA". From Rfam's summary of the family: Transfer RNA (tRNA) molecules are approximately 80 nucleotides in length. Their secondary structure includes four short double-helical elements and three loops (D, anti-codon, and T loops). RNAcentral also lists the same sequence under 12 other names. Lineage: Bacteria; Bacillati; Bacillota; Clostridia; Eubacteriales. The record is from RNAcentral.